GCAGAAGUACCCAAGUGGUCGAAGGGGCUCGCCUGGAAAGUGAGUAGGUCGUUAAUAGCGGCGCAUGGGUUCAAAUCCCAUCUUCUGCG
This 89-nucleotide transfer RNA is filed under the name Lachnospiraceae bacterium. Its description in RNAcentral is "tRNA-Ser". It matches the Rfam family "tRNA". From Rfam's summary of the family: Transfer RNA (tRNA) molecules are approximately 80 nucleotides in length. Their secondary structure includes four short double-helical elements and three loops (D, anti-codon, and T loops). RNAcentral also lists the same sequence under 3 other names. The record is from RNAcentral. Lineage: Bacteria; Bacillati; Bacillota; Clostridia; Lachnospirales; Lachnospiraceae.